GUGCUGGGUGGCCAUCCCCAUUCUCUUGGAUGGGGAUCCCUCCCUUACCAGCAGGGUGAAGAGGAGUUGAUUUAAACACCAUGUAUGAUCUGCCAUGGCUGCAAUGAGGCCCCAUUCUCCCAGUGCCCUUUGCUGUGGAAUAAUCGGGAUGGGAGAAAUCAAUUUGAAGACACAUUUACCUUCAACUGGGAGUAUGUGGCCAUUUCCACAAGUUUUCUGGGGGUGCAGUUUUAGGCAGUGUAAUCAGUGGAUGGGAGAGAGAUUUUUGGAAGUGAACAUCCUGCAACCCUAUCGCGGGGAUGACUGUCUUCCUCGCCUGAUGAUAAGACCUGUCCUAAAUACUCAACAUCUAUGCUUGUGGACCAGAGGAGAAUAAUCUAUUCAAUACUUGCAAAUAAACCAUUAAAAGACUUCUGAUCAUCUUCACAAUCCUGGCAACUACUUGCUCCUUGAGUUUUCAAGUUCCGGGAAGGGUCAUUUAUGGAACUUGUUUUCUUACCCAUAAGAUGAACUGAGCACCAACUCAUUUGCAUAUUUGUUCAUCAUCACAUUUCCAGGCACCGCAGACAAAUCUUUGCUCUUAAAGACCUUCUAGUUAGAAGAUGGAGAUUGCAGCUUCAUAGACUCAAUGUAUCAGAGACCUCAUGUUUGUCUCCAUGUUGGUUUACUGAGUCAACAGCCACAAGGUUGUCAAGGUUGGGAAAUAUUUUCAUUAUAGAGAAAUUUUGCUUAUAAUGAUAUUUGUUUUGUUUGGAUUUUGGCUAAGCUGUGAGGAUAACUCAGUUGGAUCGCUGGGAUAGUGAAGACCCCUUCUUGCUGUGCUUCUCUUUUAACAUUUGGGGAGGAUUUUCUGAAAGCUUCCUUCUGUCUGCAAUGUGAUACAUUGAGAAGGUCAACAGCUAUGCAAAUAUAUGAACAAGGAUCUUGUUUAUUGUGAAGAAAACUGGUUUGUUUGCUUAAGGAAGACGUGUCUUUCUUAAAACUGCCACUUCUGUGAGGAUGUUAAAUUGACCUUGGCUAGGAACUACAAAUUGCAGAGUUAGUC
Molecule: long non-coding RNA, 1045 nt
Filed under: Equus asinus (donkey)
Lineage: Eukaryota; Metazoa; Chordata; Mammalia; Perissodactyla; Equidae
Description: lncRNA (ENSEASG00005025954.1)
Source: RNAcentral